RNAcentral lists this ribosomal RNA (230 nucleotides) under uncultured microorganism. RNAcentral's name for it is "partial 16S ribosomal RNA". It matches the Rfam family "Bacterial small subunit ribosomal RNA", at positions 524 to 753 of the family's 1533-position model. The record is from RNAcentral.
UACGGAGGGGGCUAGCGUUGUUCGGAAUUACUGGGCGUAAAGCGCACGUAGGCGGAUUGGAAAGUCAGAGGUGAAAUCCCAGGGCUCAACCUUGGAACUGCCUUUGAAACUAUCAGUCUGGAGUUCGAGAGAGGUGAGUGGAAUUCCGAGUGUAGAGGUGAAAUUCGUAGAUAUUCGGAGGAACACCAGUGGCGAAGGCGGCUCACUGGCUCGAUACUGACGCUGAGGUG